CGGGUUCCUAUAACACAA
RNAcentral lists this non-coding RNA (18 nucleotides) under Arabidopsis thaliana (thale cress). Lineage: Eukaryota; Viridiplantae; Streptophyta; Magnoliopsida; Brassicales; Brassicaceae. The record is from RNAcentral.